Molecule: unclassified non-coding RNA, 285 nt
Filed under: Rhizophagus sp. (in: glomeromycetes)
Lineage: Eukaryota; Fungi; Glomeromycota; Glomeromycetes; Glomerales; Glomeraceae
Description: partial contains 5.8S ribosomal RNA and internal transcribed spacer 2
Rfam family: 5.8S ribosomal RNA (bases 1-65)
Source: RNAcentral
GUGAAUCAUCAAAUUUUUGAACGCAAAUUGCACUCUCUUCGGAGAGUAUGCCUGUUUGAGGGUCAGUAUUAAUAAAAAUCGGGGUGUUGCUUCUUUGUGACGCUCCGGAGUUUGGGUCAUCUUAAUAUCCUUUAGGUUUUAAGAGGCUUAAAAUUGACUUUUUUUGCGCAUUUUAGAUGUACAUAAAUUCUUUUUUUUAUUCGUCUGUCUUAAUGCUCAAAAUCCUAUUAGAUGCGACCAUAUCGUAUGGCGUCGUGUGCUUGAAUUUAAAAAGAGUUAACCUUA